GUGUUGUAUGAAAGGAGAGAAGGUUAGUACUCCCCUUGACAAGGAUGGAAGAGGCUCUCAGGCCUGUACAACAUGCAUACGGAAAUUAAAAAAUAAAUU
RNAcentral lists this non-coding RNA (99 nucleotides) under Prolemur simus (greater bamboo lemur). The record is from RNAcentral. Lineage: Eukaryota; Metazoa; Chordata; Mammalia; Primates; Lemuridae.